CACGCCGAACACGACACCUGUCACCCGCAGGUUAUAAAGGUGAGGCGGUGGCCUGAAGGAUCAUUCCACCUCACCUGUAUCAACCUCACCUGCAUCAACCUCACCUGUGCCUGCUGGAACUUUGCUUGUUGUCAUCUUACCUGAGAGAGCUUUGCCUACCUCGUCAUCGAAUUUACUUGCCUGUUUAGCCUAAACAAUCUGGUUGAAAAAUGGCUCGACUCAGCCUUGUCCUCUGCCUCGCUGUUCUGGCUCUUGUCUUUGUAGUGGGUCAUGCCCAGGGCAACCGGGGUCGCGGGGAGGAGAACAGACGACCCGUUGAAGAACGCGGCAGGGACGCCAACUCCCCGAAAUUUAGAUCAACAACCGCCACAGCCCCAGGUCUCAAUGCCGCAGACCCAGUCGUCCAGCAGACGACAGUUGCUUCGCAGACGACAGCCGCUUCACUAACGACAGUCGACUCAGAGACGACAGCCGCCAGCCAGGCGUCUGCUGAUCCCGCGACCAGCGCCGCACCUGCCGUCGAGACAACGGCCAGCAACGCCACACUUCCGGUGGUUGAAAAUGUGGAAGAAAACACGAAUCAAACAAACGUACCUUAGAUGAAUUUUAAAACUUUCCUAAAUUCCAUUUUAAAAUCCAAUGUUUGAAGUUUUCAAUCUUUUUUUUCUCGCCACCCCCCAUAUUAAAAUUUUAAAAUAUCAGUAACAUUUCAUUUAAUAUAGAUUCUAGUUAAAGUUAUGUUUUUAAAAAAUCGUUUUUCAACGCAUACAUGCAUAUACUUAACAUUUAUAUCGUAGAAAAUUUCUCAAACGUGUAUCAUCAUAGUGAUAGCACCCAACCUCACAAAUAAAUCCUGCUCACCAUAGAACUAUCCCAUUCUUACCCUCA
This is a long non-coding RNA of Physella acuta, 888 nucleotides long. RefSeq lists it as uncharacterized. The record is from RefSeq and is a predicted model, not a curated record. Lineage: Eukaryota; Metazoa; Mollusca; Gastropoda; Physidae.